Molecule: ribosomal RNA, 490 nt
Filed under: uncultured bacterium
Lineage: Bacteria
Description: partial 16S ribosomal RNA
Rfam family: Bacterial small subunit ribosomal RNA
Source: RNAcentral
AUUGAACGCUGGCGGCAGGCCUAACACAUGCAAGUCGAACGGUAACAGGAAGCAGCUUGCUGCUUUGCUGACGAGUGGCGGACGGGUGAGUAAUGUCUGGGAAACUGCCCGAUGGAGGGGGAUAACUACUGGAAACGGUAGCUAAUACCGCAUAACGUCGCAAGACCAAAGAGGGGGACCUUAGGGCCUCUUGCCAUCGGAUGUGCCCAGAUGGGAUUAGCUAGUAGGUGGGGUAACGGCUCACCUAGGCGACGAUCCCUAGCUGGUCUGAGAUGAUGACCAGCCACACUGGAACUGAGACACGGGCCAGACUCCUACGGGAGGCAGCAGUGGGGAAUAUUGCACAAUGGGCGCAAGCCUGAUGCAGCCAUGCCGCGUGUAUGAAGAAGGCCUUCGGGUUGUAAAGUACUUUCAGCGGGGAGGAAGGGAGUAAAGUUAAUACCUUUGCUCAUUGACGUUACCCGCAGAAGAAGCACCGGCUAACUCCGUG